This 304-nucleotide ribosomal RNA is filed under the name uncultured bacterium. Its description in RNAcentral is "partial 16S ribosomal RNA". It matches the Rfam family "Bacterial small subunit ribosomal RNA", at positions 509 to 807 of the family's 1533-position model. The record is from RNAcentral.
CAGCAGUCGCCGCGGUAAUACGGAGGGUGCAAGCGUUAAUCGGAAUUACUGGGCGUAAAGCGCACGCAGGCGGUCUGACAAGUCAGAUGUGAAAUCCCCGGGCUUAACCUGGGAACUGCAUUUGAAACUGUCAGGCUGGAGUCUUGUAGAGGGGGGUGGAAUUCCAGGUGUAGCGGUGAAAUGCGUAGAGAUCUGGAGGAAUACCGGUGGCGAAGGCGGCCCCCUGGACAAAGACUGACGCUCAGGUGCGAAAGCGUGGGGAGCAAACAGGAUUAGAUACCCGUGUAGUCCCUGUCUCUUAUAC